CAUCACAGUGCAGGAACCCCAAACUGCAGAUUCUGGUCACCAGUCAUGUUCUUCACACAGCUUAAUAAUCCCACAACAACAAUAACAAUAACAACUAGAAAAGCACUCGGAGAGUGCAGACCUCCUUCAAGCAGCUCAUGUCCCCCGUUAUAUUGUGAUUCACACCAAAACUUUUAGUGUUACGUGUCUUUUAUUAGUUUUUAUUUGUGUUUAAACUGGUAUGUUCACUGUUCAUAAAACAAGAAAUGCCCUGACCCGGAUUCGAACCCAGGACCUUCUUGCUGUGAGGUGACAGUGCUAACCACUACACUACUGUGCCGCCCAUCUAUACCACUGUGCCACCCAUUGGUUAUCCUUCAGCACUGAAAAUUCCAACAACACCCUUAUUUUUGUGUGUUCUGGAUCACAGUAUCUGGAAUUUUGUCUGGAUCAGGAUCAACCUUUGACACCUCAUAAAACUCAUUGAGAUCCUUUUGUGUCAUUUUUUAAUAAAGACUCAGGCCAUUUUUAUAGAGUUAAAUGCAAAAAUUCCAAAAUUUGCCCUAUCUCACAAUGACAAAGAAUCCUUCAAAAAAUUCCUGGUUCCAGAAGGCAAUCCGGAUCACCACCAAAAUGUAAUGGGAUCGUCCUGGGGCUGAGACGCACCUCUGGUGAAAAUUUCAGGUCAAUCCGUCUGUAACUUUCUCCGUAAAGUUGUCCACAGACAAACAAACCAACCAACAAACUAACGCUACCAAAAACAUAACCUCCUUGGCAGAGGUCAUAACAACAACAAAAUGCCACUGCUGACUGAAAAACAAGCAGCACUGAUAAAGGAUGCGCCCUGAAAGUAAAAAACAAAAAACAGCUGGAGGGGGAAGAUACAACUUCAGGAUUAAACUUCCUCUGUUACUUCCUCCAAGACCUCCAGACUUCAACAGAGGAGAGACGGCAGUGCUGGUCAGCUGUCUCAACUUGUAUGGAGAGACUUAAUGGGUUCUGCUGAUCUGAUCAUUGUCAUGAUGCGGGGCCAUAACUUAAAUCUAACAGAAAGACCUCUCAGUUUUCAAAAGAGGCUGUUUUUUCACAGCAAUGCUCAUCAGUGUCACUUCACCCUCACAGACCAGUCAAAACCAAGGAAGGGACUAACACCUUCAAAUUUGUUUCAGAGUUAUUGCAGCUGCUGAUUCCAGAAGCAAAAUAUUGUGCAAACAUGAAUGUAACUGAAGCACCUGAGGAUGGUAACUCAGAAAUAUAAGCUGUUUUACACUGAGCUGAAAAGUGUUCUACAUGAAUCAGAGAGACCAAAUUACUGUGCAACACCUCUGACUGUCACUGCUGUUCAGCCUUAGGUUUGAGCAGCAAACCUGCACCUGAAUGCAUCACCAAGAAGCUGAUAAAAUGAGGACGUGCUGCUGUCCCACAUUUCAGACAUGACUACGGAAUUACUACACUGAUGAUAACCCACGCACACAGUUCUCUUUGCAUGCAUUCUAUGCAAAGAGAACUCAUCCAUCCAUCCAUCCAUCCAUCCAUCCAUCCUCUCAUCCAUCCAUCUAUCUGUCCAUUCUCUCAUCCAUCCAUUCAUCCAUCCAUGCAUAUAUACAUCUAGGCAUGACCCAUCCAUCCACUCAAAAUUCUAUCCAUUGAUCUACUCAUCCAUCCAUCCAUCUUUACAUCCACCCAUAAUCUUUGAUUAAUCUAUUGUUCCCUCCAUCCCUCCCUCCCUGAAUCUCUCCAUCCUCCCUCCAUCCUCCCAUCCCACUCUCCAUCCAUCCAUUUAUUCAUCCUUCCAUCCAUCCAUCCAUCCAUCUUAAGGGUCGUUCCUGCAGUUGUGAUUAUGUAAAUUCUCCAGACGCUCUGUUCUCCUGCAGUCUGAUGUAAAAGCUCGGCCAGCUCUCCCUCUGUAUUUAUCCCGUGUCGAGCGGAUGCAUUACCAGGCAUGGGUGUUUUAUUUGCUGUGUUUAACCAGGUUUUACAGAUCAGGGCUCUGAUAUAUAAAGAUGCAUCUUCUUUUGUAGCGGUGUGAGUCUUCAGCCUCCAUCUGCAGCCUGAUUGACGCUUCUAUUCACCUAUAAGUGCUGCCUUCACUGCAGCUCCUCAGCUUUUAUUUUCAAAUGGAUGUUUGGCUUUAAAGCAAUCCCUUUCACUGGCUCCUUUCACUGCCACCGGGAAGUAGAAAUAUAGAAAUAAAUGUGAAAAUAAUAACAGCAUGGCCCUUAAUGUUUCUCUCUCUCUCUCUCUCUCUCUCUCUCUCUCUCUCUCUCUCUCUCUCUCUCUCUCUCUCUCUCUCCCUGCACUCGGCUGGAAUCACAGAGCGACUGUAUUACAGAAAAAGCUUUUCAGCAACAACA
RNAcentral lists this long non-coding RNA (2333 nucleotides) under Xyrichtys novacula (pearly razorfish). The record is from RNAcentral. Lineage: Eukaryota; Metazoa; Chordata; Actinopteri; Labriformes; Labridae.